GUUUGGCGGUAGCAAUUACGCCAUCUUGUAUUAGAAGUGUCUAGAAUCCGUAAUGCUUACAUCUGCAUUCCCUAUCACCGCCACAACCCUUAUAAAUAGAGAAACCCUAAUUUUCACGUCGCCACAUUUGCUAUCUCUUCCGCUCUCCCUUUAUUGCAUUUUGUAUUCUUGUUUUAUUAAGAUUUGUUGAUACAGAUCGGUUUUUGUCCAAAUCUCUCUAGAUUUUAUUUUGUUUUGGAGGUGUGACUUAUCUGUGAGUUCCUUCGGUGAGGUAUAAGCAAUUCUUAUUCUUGAUUUGUGUUUUGGGAAGUCUUGUUCUUCUGUUUCUGUCAGUUGUUUGUUCUUUUCUUUUGUAUGAAUUGAAGAGUUUUAGAUCUACAUAAGUAGUAUGAAUAACUGCUCAAAAAGGGAUAUCCAUUUUUUUUUUUUAAUUUUAUACUAUAAUUGUUGUUUUAUUUAUGGCAAUAGAAAUAAUUGGUGGUGUUGAUUGAUUGUUGUCAUUGUAAAGUUCAUCAUUUCAUAUUUUCCUAUUCUGAUAGUAAAAAUUAAGAAUCUUAUUAUUGAUUUUCAUACUUUUGGUAUUUUAGUAAGGUGUCAAAGUAGAACAAUAAUUUCUAGAAAAGAUAAAUUCAGUUUGCCUUACAUAUUUAAAAUUGAAUGUUGUGAUGACUUGAUCUAAAUAUGUUUGACAAUCAUUCUUUAGCAGCUCAUAUUUAAAUAUAUAUGAACAGUUACUCUUUCACCUUUUGAGUUACCAGAAAUUAAGUGUAUUGCAUGCGAUAUUUUGAUUCAGAAAUGCAAUUAAUCACUCAAAUUGUAAUGUGGUAUAUCAACUAAAUACAGACUGUAACUACUUUGUGUUUAAUAGAAGAGCUUAGAGCACUCGAGAAUGUGCUGUGGACGAGUUACUUAUUUAUGUAUUAUUGUAUGAUGGGAUAAUAUGGCCAAGAAAUACUGUUUGCAUAUAUAUCUUGUAAGUUAUAUCAUGCUCAAUAUUGUCUGAAUCCACACGGAACACUGUAGAAUAUAGCUGGAUAUUUAAAUGGUAUUAGAGAUAUAGCUAGUUUAUCUAGUGGCUAAUCAGAAUAGUAGGUAAUUAGAUAAGAUGAAUUAUUAUUGAUUGUUUGGAUUCAUUUAUAUUGGGAAAUUAUGUCAAGUGCAGAUUAUGCGAGUUUUGUGGAUUAGUCAUUGUAUGUUGUGUAUCUUAGAUGUUUGUUCUGUUUGGUAUUCAUUGCAUUUGGCAUACCCUGAUGUAAUUGUGCUCUAUGAACAAUUGGUAUGGAGAACUGCAAAAUUACGGCCAUUUGCAAUAAUAAGUUGCUGCUUAAUAGUGAUCCAUAUUGUUAUGAACUGUUGUGUUACUAUUUGAGGUAUGCUUAUCUGGUGUGCAAUUUGAUGGAAAAGAACCUUAUGGCAUAAGGAGAUGCUCAUUCAUUGUGAUCCCAAUAGAUGUUGGGAUCCCUUUUGUAUCUAUUGUUGCAGUUGGGUGUUUUUUUAUCUCGAAAUCUAAACUUACUUCAGUUCAAUCAAUAAUUCAAUUAUUCUUGAGAAGUUGGAUGUUAUAACAUCUAUGGCCAAUACAUUUAGAGUACCUUGUGUGAAUAUUGUGUUAUAGUGGAAAAAUAAGGGGAAGAUUGAAUAGUAUUAGAGAUUAAUUGUUCUCCAUGUAUUGACUUGUUUGAAGACAUUUGAAAUAAUGUCAACUUAGUAUCCCAUGAUCUGCUGCAAUUCUCUUGUUUCAUAUACACUUGCAGAAAGCCUCCUCAAUGUGAGCAUUGUUUCCGUCUUUCAAAUGCUUGUUAAUAAAUAGCACCUGUUUUUAUUCUUUAGUUUGUAGGCGUGCAAUAUUUAGAAUAGUCACAUCAUUCAGUGCUGUUUUCAUCAGUUACAACUUAUAUGUGUUUUCUAGGGAAGUCACUUUUUUUCUUAAACACUAAAAUGUCAUUCUUUUAGAUGUGUUAGUCUACAAUUGGAAUAAACAUGUAGUGAAACAUGAUGGAGAGUGGGAUUUCUGAACUUGACUGGCAUCAUCUUCUUCAUAAGCUUUUGGUCUCGUUGGUGUUGUUUUUAUCAGUUUUUGAAUUUUUUGUUUCUAUUGGAAACAGUGCGCUGUAACCAAAUUUUAUUGUGCAAGUUCUGAAGUGUAGUCAACUGUUAAAUGAUCUGCUGAUGGAAAUUGGCACAAAGAAGAUUAAAACAUGAUUGCUUCAAAUUUGCAACAUUAGAUUUCUGUUUUUAUAUACUCUUUUUGUGUAUGUACUCCCUCCGUAUCAAACAAAGUGCAACAUUUGAUUUCGGCGGUGGGUAGUAUUAGGUAUGAUAAUUUUGAAAUUAAGUGAUAUGGUGGAAAGAAAAGUAUAUAUUUUAUUUUUUUAUUUGGGUGAUGUGAUGAGAUAGUGUGAGGUAGAAAUUAAGUAUAAUUAUUUCAUAUUUUGAAAAUAUUGCAGAGUAUAAGAAAUGUUGCAGGGUGUUUGGGACGGAGGGAGUAUUAUUUAUGGUAGCUGCAAUUUGAAGGAUAUUAUGCCUGCUCUGUAAGGAUAGGUGCCGGCUGCCUUGUCAAAACGGUGAGGAGAGUCGUGCUGUAGUUGAGCAUUCAGCCUUCUUCCCAGUCGAUGUCUUCUUCCUCUUCGGAAACUUCAGCUUCCAUAUUUAAGUCGCCAACUUUAUAAUACCCGGUUGCGCCACCUGAGGCCCGGCGGCUGUCAACGACUGAUAGACGGAGAAGAUGCUGCUGAGUAAAAUCAAUUGGGCCAGGGCAGCUGAGGACGGUGGAAAUUGAGGCCAGCGAUUAGGGCGACUGAAGUAGACGGCG
This is a long non-coding RNA of Andrographis paniculata, 2812 nucleotides long. RefSeq lists it as uncharacterized. The transcript has 3 exons. The record is from RefSeq and is a predicted model, not a curated record. Lineage: Eukaryota; Viridiplantae; Streptophyta; Magnoliopsida; Lamiales; Acanthaceae.